RNAcentral lists this ribosomal RNA (1977 nucleotides) under Triticum aestivum (bread wheat). RNAcentral's name for it is "partial small subunit ribosomal RNA". Lineage: Eukaryota; Viridiplantae; Streptophyta; Magnoliopsida; Poales; Poaceae. The record is from RNAcentral.
AUGGCGUUUGCUGGCAUGUCUCUCGUCACCGCUGAGGGCAAGCUGUGCACGUCUACCGUGUCGCCCAUCGACUCCCGCGCGGCCCGCGGGUACCACCUGCUCGCGGUCGAAGGCUUCUCGAGAAACAAGACGCCCACCGGCCAGUACAUCAGAUCUCGCACUUUCUUGGUUGGAGGCCGCCGCUGGUAUCUCAACUACUACCCUAAUGGCUGUGACUACCAGUGGGACGGUUGGGUAUCGGUUUCUAUUGGCCUUGAGGACGACGAAGAUGAUGACGCUGACGAUGAUGAGCAAAAGCAGCCCGUGAAGGUCCGGCUUGCCAUCUGUUUGAUCGACCAAUUUCAGUGGCAAGAGUCAGUAUACAUCCAUGAAUGUGAAACAGAAGAUUUUGUUCUCAAUUCUGUAAUCUGCGAUAAAGAUUUCAUAAGAAGAUCUACGUUGGAAAGAUCUUCGUAUCUCAAGGAUGACAGCUUCAUAAUCCGUUUCGACGUUAGCGUACUUGACGUCAAGGCCGACGUCAACACGGAGGUUGGCGCUACCACCAUCGUUUCUCGGUUCAUCCAAGUCCCUCCUUCCGACCUGGCAAUCCACUUCAGGCCUUGUUCGGUUGCAACAAAAUUGAAGGGGAGAGGUUUAUCCGAACAAGGCCUCAAGGAUCUCCUCAUGUCCAAGGAGGGUGCUGACGUGACGUUUGAGGUUGGCGGCGAAGCAUUUGCUGCGCAUCAAUGUGUGCUUGCAGCGCGAUCUAUGGCAUUCAAGUCACAGCUGUUUGGUGACACUCCUGGUGGUGCUACUGUGAAGAUCGAUGGUAUAGAAGCAGAAGUGUUUAAGAGCAUGCUAACUUUCAUCUACACCGACACAUUGCCUGUACCUGACUGGAAUAAAAUACAAGUGUGGACACCAGAGGGAGCCCCAAAAGCAGUCCAACAUGUAAUGUGGCUGCUGCAGUUGCUUGAAGCUGCGGAGAGAUAUGAUCUCCAUAGGCUCAAGUUGAUCUGCCAAGACGAGUUGGGCACCAGCAUUCAGCUGAAGACGGUAGCGGACAUCAUUGUUGGAGCUGAGCGGGGACAUUACCCGGUGCUUUGUGCUGUUAUUUUGAGCCUUUGCAGGAUCGACUGGUGUGUGUUUUGCGUCAGUUGGCUCGUUUUUUGCUGGGCUCGUGGAGCUGGCGGGUGGUGGCCAUCUCGUGCCCACUCAUUAAGAAAGCCCGGCCCAUUUCUGCGGAACGUGGAUAGUCGCUGCCCCUCUCAUCUUAUCCUCUUCCUCCUCAUCUUCUGUCAGUCACUCGCUCCUCUCUCUGUUUCAGUCAAUGUCCUCUACUCAUCCUCUUCCUGUCGCGAGCUGGGGUUCGUGGGGUUAGUUGCUAGAUCUUCUCCCACUGCCUCAUCUGCUCCUACUGCUUCAGUCCAUGGCUUCUGUUCUUCCUCUUCCUGUCAUGAGCUAGGGUUCUUGGGGUUUGUUGCUAGAUCUGCUAACUUAGGUGCUUCUCCAUGGUUAUCUUUGGUGCUUGCAGGUAUUUUUGUCUGCUGCAUCCUUUGCCUUAGUUCAUCUUGCUCUUUUCUCUUUAGUCCCCUCAUGCGCCUAACUUUGCUAGAUCUGCUCACCUGGGUGCUUCUCUGUGUUUUUUAUGGUGUUUGCAGGUCUUCACAGUCGGGUGUUUUGGUUGCUGUAGGAUCUGCCGUUGCUAUGACAUGGUUUGCCCCAUUUGUCAUUGCCUGGGUGCCCCUUGUGUACCAUUUGCGGCAAAUCAAGAAGUUCCUGAAGUUUUCGAUGUUCUGCUUGAUGAGGACUGCUUUAGGAGGAUGUAUGAUGGUCAUGCAAUGGAUGUUUGGCCGACUGGAGAAGGACUUUGGAAGGAAGAAAUGUGAGCAGAAGAACUACAGAGAGGUCAGAACAGAUCUGAGGUUUGUUCCAGCGUCCAUGGCAGCGGUUGAGUCGUGCGAUGUCGAGGAAGGGAAAGGAAGGAAGAAGACCUAG